CCCUUAGAUGUUCUGGGCCGCACGCGCGCUACACUGACGAAUGCAACGAGCUUAUAACCUUGGCCGAAAGGUCUGGGUAAUCUCCAAAUUUCGUCGUGAUGGGGAUAGAUUAUUGCAAUUAUUAAUCUUCAACGAGGAGUGCCUAGUAAGCGCAAGUCAUCAGCUUGCGUUGAUUACGUCCCUGCCCUUUGUACACACCGCCCGUCGCUCCUACCGAUUGAAUGGUCCGGUGAAGCGUUCGGACCGUGGCCUUUGGACGGUUCGCCGUCUGUUGGCUGCGGGAAGUUCGUUAAACCUUAUCAUUUAGAGGAAGGAGAANUCGUAACA
This 327-nucleotide ribosomal RNA is filed under the name uncultured eukaryote. RNAcentral describes it as "partial 18S ribosomal RNA". It matches the Rfam family "Eukaryotic small subunit ribosomal RNA", at positions 1470 to 1796 of the family's 1831-position model. The record is from RNAcentral.